UUGGUGAGGUGUUGAAUGGAGAUCGUUUAGUCACUGCUCCAUACAAACUUGACUUCACAAAUGAUCGAGAAACCGAGGUAGUUUGCAAGAAGACAUUGUCAAAGGAAGAAGUUGCAAGAUUCCGUGAUGCUGUUGCCAAGGACUACUACUUCCAGAUGUUCUAUGAUGACCUUCCUAUUUGGGGUUUCAUUGGUAAGGUAGAUAAGGAGGGGAAAGCUGACCCCAGUGAGUACAAAUAUUACCUAUUUAAACAUCUUCAUUUUGACAUCCAUCACAACAAAGACCGUGUGAUUGAAGUCAAUGCACGAACUGACCCCAAUGCGCUAGUGGACAUAACUGAAGAUAAGGAAAUUGAUGUAGACUUCAUGUACUCUGUAAAAUGGAAGGAAACAGAAAUCCCUUUUGAGAAAAGGAUGGAAAAGUACUCGCAGACUUCAGCUUUACCACAUCAUUUGGAGAUCCACUGGUUCUCUAUCAUUAAUUCUUGUGUCACAGUUCUGCUCUUAACUGGUUUCCUUGCUACUAUUCUGAUGCGCGUCCUUAAAAAUGACUUUGUCAAAUAUGCCCAUGAUGAGGAAGCAGCUGAUGACCAAGAAGAAACUGGG
Molecule: unclassified non-coding RNA, 605 nt
Filed under: Hevea brasiliensis (rubber tree)
Lineage: Eukaryota; Viridiplantae; Streptophyta; Magnoliopsida; Malpighiales; Euphorbiaceae
Source: RNAcentral